GCUAGUAGAAGAGGGUGAUGAGGGGACUGAUCUCCUUGUUAGUUCUAUUAGUUCUGAGGAGGUUGUACUUUCACAAACCACACUUCAGGAGCUGUGUGAGCCAAUGGGUUUGAACCCAGGCGAGAAAUCAGAUCUCCCUUCUAGCUUGGAUGAAGGAGCUGUUCCGACUGAGAAAUCAGAUUUUCCUACUACCAUGGAUGAAGGAGCUGUCCCAAUUGAGAAACCAGAUCUCCCUACUAGCAUGGAUG
RNAcentral lists this unclassified non-coding RNA (248 nucleotides) under Hevea brasiliensis (rubber tree). Lineage: Eukaryota; Viridiplantae; Streptophyta; Magnoliopsida; Malpighiales; Euphorbiaceae. The record is from RNAcentral.